GACGAACCGUGCGAACGUUAUUCGGAAUCACUGGGCUUAAAGGGCGCGUAGGCGGGCUCGCCAGUCAGGGGUGAAAGCCCACGGCUCAACCGUGGAAGUGCCUUUGAUACUGCGAGUCUCGAGGGAGGUAGGGGCGUGCGGAACUUCCGGUGGAGCGGUGAAAUGCGUAGAUAUCGGAAGGAACAUCGGUGGCGAAAGCGGCGCGCUGGACCUCUUCUGACGCUGAGGCGCGAAAGCCAGGGGAGCAAACGGG
RNAcentral lists this ribosomal RNA (253 nucleotides) under uncultured bacterium. RNAcentral describes it as "partial 16S ribosomal RNA". It matches the Rfam family "Bacterial small subunit ribosomal RNA", at positions 524 to 776 of the family's 1533-position model. The record is from RNAcentral.